This 269-nucleotide ribosomal RNA is filed under the name uncultured Planctomycetales bacterium. RNAcentral's name for it is "partial 16S ribosomal RNA". It matches the Rfam family "Bacterial small subunit ribosomal RNA", at positions 565 to 832 of the family's 1533-position model. Lineage: Bacteria; Pseudomonadati; Planctomycetota; Planctomycetia; Planctomycetales. The record is from RNAcentral.
GAGCACGUAGGUGGGUUUGUAAGUCAGAUGUGAAAGCCUUCUGUUCAACGGAAGAAUUGCAUCUGAAACUGCGAGUCUUGAGUGUAGGAGGGGAGAAUGGAACUUCUGGUGGAGCGGUGAAAUGCGUAGAUAUCAGAAGGAACUCCGGCGGCGAAAGCGACUCUCUGGCCUAUUACUGACACUCAGUGUGCGAAAGCUAGGGGAGCAAACGGGAUUAGAUACCCCGGUAGUCCUAGCCGUAAACGAUGGGCACUAAGUAGAGGGGUUUU